ACACUUACCCCUCCGCAGCUUCACUCUCCACUUUCCUUUUCAACUCUCUCCCUCACGCUUAUCUUUUCAAUGGAAACCAGGGGCCAAAAUCCAUGGCCACCUCUGCUUCAUUCUUUGACAAACCUCGCAGAGAGCCUCCAUUCGCAGGACUCCAAAACACAUGCACGACCUGGUACUAACUCCAAACUCCUAAAAAUCUACAGUUACCUUCUCGGACCGAUGAAACUGGCGAAGCUGUCUAUUCUCCAUGACAAAAAUUUGAUUUAAAGUACAUCAAAGCAGUUGCAUGGUUAGACAGCUCCAACCAACCAAUCCAUUGGUUCGAGCUUGCUCUGACUUGGCCCGGAUAAAUCGAGCAUCUACAGUUACCAUCAAA
Hibiscus syriacus is the source of this 376-nucleotide long non-coding RNA. RefSeq lists it as uncharacterized. The transcript has 3 exons. NCBI's taxonomy places the organism in Eukaryota, Viridiplantae, Streptophyta, Magnoliopsida, Malvales, Malvaceae. The record is from RefSeq and is a predicted model, not a curated record.